AGAAUCAACGCUGGCGGCGUGCCUAACACAUGCAAGUCGAACGAGAAAGUGGUAGCAAUACCACGAGUAAAGUGGCGCACGGGUGAGUAACACGUGACUAACCUACCCUGGAGUGGGGGGAUAACUGAGGGAAACCUUAGCUAAUACCGCAUAAUACCCACGGGUCAAAGGAGCAAUUCGCUCUGGGAGGGGGUCGCGGCCGAUUAGUUAGUUGGCGGGGUAAUGGCCCACCAAGACUGUGAUCGGUAUCCGGCCUGAGAGGGCGCACGGACACACUGGAACUGAAACACGGUCCAGACUCCUACGGGAGGCAGCAGUGGGGAAUUUGCGCAAUGGGGGAAACCCUGACGCAGCAACGCCGCGUGGAGGAUGAAGUCCCUCGGGACGUAAACUCCUUUCGAUCGGGACGAUAAUGACGGUACCGGAAGAAGAAGCCCGGCUAACUUCGCGCCAGCAGCCGC
This 461-nucleotide ribosomal RNA is filed under the name uncultured bacterium. RNAcentral's name for it is "SSU rRNA". It matches the Rfam family "Bacterial small subunit ribosomal RNA", at positions 26 to 518 of the family's 1533-position model. The record is from RNAcentral.